RNAcentral lists this non-coding RNA (78 nucleotides) under Procavia capensis (Cape rock hyrax). Lineage: Eukaryota; Metazoa; Chordata; Mammalia; Hyracoidea; Procaviidae. The record is from RNAcentral.
AAUUAGUUCAAGGGUUGUGCAUUAUUGUUAAGGUGUUUAGCACUGUCUCCACCCACAACCACACACGACUGGCUUUGC